UGCAGUCGAACGAUGAAGCUUCUAGCUUGCUAGAAGUGGAUUAGUGGCGCACGGGUGAGUAAGGUAUAGUUAAUCUGCCCUACACAAGAGGACAACAGUUGGAAACGACUGCUAAUACUCUAUAUUCCUGCUUAACACAAGUUGAGUAGGGAAAGUUUUUCGGUGUAGGAUGAGACUAUAUAGUAUCAGCUAGUUGGUAAGGUAAUGGCUUACCAAGGCUAUGACGCUUAACUGGUCUGAGAGGAUGAUCAGUCACACUGGAACUGAGACACGGUCCAGACUCCUACGGGAGGCAGCAGUAGGGAAUAUUGCGCAAUGGGGGAAACCCUGACGCAGCAACGCCGCGUGGAGGAUGACACUUUUCGGAGCGUAAACUCCUUUUCUUAGGGAAGAAUUCUGACGGUACCUAAGGAAUAAGCACCGGCUAACUCCGUGCCAGCAGCCGCGGUAAUACGGAGGGUGCAAGCGUUACUCGGAAUCACUGGGCGUAAAGGGCGCGUAGGCGGAUUAUCAAGUCUCUUGUGAAAUCUAAUGGCUUAACCAUUAAACUGCUUGGGAAACUGAUAGUCUGGAGUGAGGGAGAGGCAGAUGGAAUUGGUGGUGUAGGGGUAAAAUCCGUAGAUAUCACCAAGAAUACCCAUUGCGAAGGCGAUCUGCUGGAACUCAACUGACGCUAAGGCGCGAAAGCGUGGGGAGCAAACAGGAUUAGAUACCCUGGUAGUCCACGCCCUAAACGAUGUACACUAGUUGUUGGGGUGCUAGUCAUCUCAGUAAUGCAGCUAACGCAUUAAGUGUACCGCCUGGGGAGUACGGUCGCAAGAUUAAAACUCAAAGGAAUAGACGGGGACCCGCACAAGCGGUGGAGCAUGUGGUUUAAUUCGAAGAUACGCGAAGAACCUUACCUGGGCUUGAUAUCCUAAGAACCUUUUAGAGAUAAGAGGGUGCUAGCUUGCUAGAACUUAGAGACAGGUGCUGCACGGGCUGUCGUCAGCUCGUGUCGUGAGAUGUUGGGUUAAGUCCCGCAACGAGCGCAACCCACGUAUUUAGUUGCUAACGGUUCGGCCGAGCACUCUAAAUAGACUGCCUUCGUAAGGAGGAGGAAGGUGUGGACGACGUCAAGUCAUCAUGGCCCUUAUGCCCAGGGCGACACACGUGCUACAAUGGCAUAUACAAUGAGACGCAAUACCGCGAGGUGGAGCAAAUCUAUAAAAUAUGUCCCAGUUCGGAUUGUUCUCUGCAACUCGAGAGCAUGAAGCCGGAAUCGCUAGUAAUCGUAGAUCAGCCAUGCUACGGUGAAUACGUUCCCGGGUCUUGUACUCACCGCCCGUCACACCAUGGGAGUUGAUUUCACUCGAAUGCCGGAAUACUAAACUAG
This 1375-nucleotide ribosomal RNA is filed under the name Campylobacter coli. RNAcentral describes it as "bacterial SSU rRNA". It matches the Rfam family "Bacterial small subunit ribosomal RNA". Lineage: Bacteria; Pseudomonadati; Campylobacterota; Epsilonproteobacteria; Campylobacterales; Campylobacteraceae. The record is from RNAcentral.